AGGGUGGCGGGUGUUGCUGGAGCCUAUCUCAGCUGCAUUUGGGAGGAAGGCGGACUACACCCAGGACAAGUCGCUACUUCAUCACAGGGCCAACACAGAUAUUGAUGUCAACAAUGAAGGCUUUCAUUGGUGGCAAAAAGAAGAAGAAAUGUAACUUAAUGCUCCCGCGUCAAUGCAGCGUCCUUCGGCUGCUGUGGCUGAGAGUUAAUGAGGUAAGAUGACCCAGCUUCAUGUUGUUGGCCUGCCCCUCUCCCUUUUAUUUACGGCCUCCCUGCCAGCAGAGAGGCCGACUGAGGCUCAAAGACAAGAACAGACCUCCUUCAAAGCAGGCAGCUGUAGCCUGCGGGCUGGUUCUAUCCAUCCAUCCAUCCUUCCAUUUUUUACUGCUUGUCCCUUUCCGGGUCCCGGGGGUGCUGGAGCCUAUCCCAGCUGCAUUCGGGCGGUAGGUCAUGAGUUCAAACCGAGCAAAGACUAUAAAAAUGGGACACAUUACAUCCCUACUUGGCACUCCGCAUUAAGGGUUGGAAUUGGGGGUUAAAUCACCAAAAUUAUUCCCGAGCACGGCCACCGAUGCUACUCACUGCUCCCCUCACCUCCCAGGGUGUGGAACGAGGGGAUGGGUCAAACGCAGGGGGUAAUUUCACCACACCUAGUGUGUGUGAGACUAUCGGUGGUACUUUAACUUUAAGAGACUUCCUUUUAUUGUCACUCAAAUUUGAACAUUACAGUACAGAUAAGAACGAACUUUUGUUGUAUUAGCUUGUUGUAGUGCAGGAUAAAAGAGCAAUGAGCUGCAGAUAUAAAUAAAUAGAUUACUGUACAGAUAAACAUAUUGCACUUUUUCAUGGAUGUAUGUUAUAUUGUCUUUAUAUCCCAGCGAGUUAAUCAGUUUUUUGGGGGGAGUUGAGGGGAUUACUUUGAUGCGUUCAAGAGUGUGAUGGCCUGAGGGAAAACGCUGUUACAGAACCUGGAAGUUCUGCUUCGGAGGCUGCGGAACCUCUUUCUAGACUCCAGCAGUGAAAACAGUCCUUGGUGGGGGUGGGAGGAGUCUACAGAUUUUCUGAGCCCUGAUCAGGCAGCGUUUUUUUGAGAUUUCCUGGAUAGGAGGAAGAUUUAACAUUCACACACUAGGUUCUAAUUAGGGCUGUACGGUAUACCGCUUUUAGUAUAGUACCGCGAUACUAAUGAAUCAUUUUCGGUACUAUAGUGCCUCUGAAACAUAUCGGUGCCGCACCCUACCCACGCCCGCAUUGUCGUCAUGUCAUAACAUUGCUGGUUUACGAAAAGAUGGGCAUGUUCGGCAGCACACAAUCACAGAGUACUUACAAGUAGACAGAAAAAGGAGAACGGACGCAUUUUGGCUUAAAAACUAACGAUAAAGGUGAAGUUAUAACACUGAAGCACCUUCAGGAAGAGGUGCUUUAAUACAUGGCUUAAGUCCAGCCGCUGUCGACAGUGUUGUAGCUACUUCCAAAUCACUAAUCCUCGCCUCCAUGGUGACAAAUAAAGUGUGUUUCUUACAAGUAUCAUCCCUGCAGGAUGAAGAAUAGCUAUACAUGCUUCACUACACACCGUAGCUCACCGGCGUCAGAAUUUAUCAAACGCCAUGGGUGGAUCUACACCUGACAUCCACUGUAGUGAUAUCAAGUACAAGAGCGUAUUUAGUCGUUACCACUAUAAUUACGUCGAUUUUAUUUUGGCAUCACAACAUCUUUCGUUUUUUUUUUUAAUGUAUUUUAUGUUUAUAAAUUUAGGAAAUAUGUCCCUGGACACAUAAGGACUUUGAAUAUGACCAAUGUAUGAUCCUGUAACGACUUGGUAUCGGAUCAAUAUCCAAAUUUGUGAUAUCAUCCAAAACUAAUGUAAAGUAUCAAAUAACAGAAGAAUAAGUGAUUAUUACAUUUUACCAGAAGUGUAGAUAGAAUGUGUUAAAAGAGAAAGUAAGCAGAUAUUAACAGUAAAUGAACAAGUUGAUUAAAAAUUCAUUUUCUGCCACUUGUCCUUAAUAAUUUUGACAAAAUAAUAGAAUGAUAAAUGACACGAAAUGUUACUGCAUAUGUCAGCAGCUAAACGAGGAGCCUUUGUUUGUUUACUUACUAAUAAAUGACA
Molecule: long non-coding RNA, 2109 nt
Organism: Nerophis ophidion (straightnose pipefish)
Lineage: Eukaryota; Metazoa; Chordata; Actinopteri; Syngnathiformes; Syngnathidae
Exons: 4
Source: RefSeq, a predicted model, not a curated record